Molecule: ribosomal RNA, 495 nt
Filed under: uncultured bacterium
Lineage: Bacteria
Description: partial 16S ribosomal RNA
Rfam family: Bacterial small subunit ribosomal RNA
Source: RNAcentral
AUGAACGCUGGCGGCGUGCCUAAUACAUGCCAGUCGAGCGAACAGAUGAGGAGCUUGCUCCUCUGACGUUAGCGGCGGACGGGUGAGUAACACGUGGAUAACCUACCUAUAAGACUGGGAUAACUUCGGGAAACCGGAGCUAAUACCGGAUAAUAUAUUGAACCGCAUGGUUCAAUAGUGAAAGACGGUUUUGCUGUCACUUAUAGAUGGAUCCGCGCCGCAUUAGCUAGUUGGUAAGGUAACGGCUUACCAAGGCAACGAUGCGUAGCCGACCUGAGAGGGUGAUCGGCACACGGGGAAAGAGGAACAGGGCCAAACCCCUAGGGGAGGCACCGUGAGGAAUUCUUCCGGAAUGGGCAAAAGCUUAGCGGGGAAACGCGGCGGGAGGAAGAAAGGGUUUCGGAUCGUAAAACUUUUUUAUUGGGGAAAAACAAAUGUUUAAGAAACGAGGCGAGUUUUAACGGAACCGAAGAAAAAGGCCAGGGCUAACUAGGG